This 311-nucleotide unclassified non-coding RNA is filed under the name Hevea brasiliensis (rubber tree). The record is from RNAcentral. Lineage: Eukaryota; Viridiplantae; Streptophyta; Magnoliopsida; Malpighiales; Euphorbiaceae.
CCCACUAAAUCCACCGCCGCUUUGGCUGCUGCUGCCACAUCCUCCUCCAUCUCCACCACCGCACCACUGCCUACCACAGUCAUCAAUACUCUCCUCCACUAUGCUUCAAGAUCCAAUGACAGUUUCCACAUGUCCUACUCCGAAAUUAAACCCAUAUCUGAUGUCCUUAGAAAGUGUUCUUCUCCUUGUAACUUUCUUGUUUUUGGCCUAACACAUGAAACCCUUCUCUGGAAGGCCCUCAACCACAAUGGCCGCACAGUUUUCAUCGAUGAAAACAGAUACUACGCUGCCUAUUUCGAAGAGCUACACCC